GCACCACUGAUGAGACUCAGCCAGGUCGAAACAGCUGUCUGGUGC
RNAcentral lists this non-coding RNA (45 nucleotides) under Echinostoma caproni. Lineage: Eukaryota; Metazoa; Platyhelminthes; Trematoda; Plagiorchiida; Echinostomatidae. The record is from RNAcentral.